Molecule: non-coding RNA, 54 nt
Organism: Salmo salar (Atlantic salmon)
Lineage: Eukaryota; Metazoa; Chordata; Actinopteri; Salmoniformes; Salmonidae
Source: Rfam
GAAAUGUAGUACUGUAAGUCGCUCUGGAUAAGAGCGUCUGCUAAAUGACUAAAA